RNAcentral lists this ribosomal RNA (253 nucleotides) under uncultured bacterium. RNAcentral's name for it is "partial 16S ribosomal RNA". It matches the Rfam family "Bacterial small subunit ribosomal RNA", at positions 524 to 776 of the family's 1533-position model. The record is from RNAcentral.
UACGUAGGCAGCGAGCGUUGUUCGGAGUUACUGGGCGUAAAGGGUGUGUAGGCGGUUGUUUAAGUUUGGUGUGAAAUCUCCCGGCUCAACUGGGAGGGUGCGCCGAAUACUGAAUGACUAGAGUGUGGGAGAGGUGAGUGGAAUUCCUGGUGUAGCGGUGAAAUGCGUAGAUAUCAGGAGGAACACCGGUGGUGUAGACGGCUCACUGGACCAUAACUGACGCUGAGACACGAAAGCGUGGGGAGCGAACAGG